UCAGAAUUUAAGUUUAGCUUCAGUUUGAAAUAGAUUUUUUUGGUCAGAUUAGGCCUCACUUUGUUGAUACAUGUGUGUUCUUUUAUUGAUAGCUGUGGCAUUUUUAUUGUGAUCAUACACUAAUGGUCAUUGUGUUAUUAUGUAAUAGAUGUAUCAAGGGAUGACACAGAGACCUCUGGCUCUGAGCAAGACAGUGAGCCAGAGCUCUUAGGAGAUGUCAUCGAGCCCCUCCCAACUGCAUCAAGCUCUAAAAUGCCUCAAUGGACACUGGGGUUAACAUCCCCCAUUGCUGCCCUGGGGAUUUAGGAUUUGAUAAACAGGCCACAGAGAAGAGGUCCACCUACUGGCCAUCCAAUGCCACUUCCAGAAGCAUAUGGUAUCCCAACGAGGGGCCAGUGAGGAGCAACCAGAAGGGACAUUAAACAGGUUUCUUAAUUCUUCGGUCUUGAAGAUCAGUAAUGUGCAGAGAAUGCAGUAUUGCAUUGACAUGGCCACAGGAAUAUGUUUUGAUCAGGGAUAGCACGUACAGACGAUGCGUGCCCAUUGGCCAAACCGAUAACGGAAACGGACCAUCCGCAAGCACAAAUGACAGAUGUUUGGAAUGUUGUCGAGGGGGCUGUGGACACCGAAAUACAACCUUUCUAGUACAUGUCUAGGAGUCACAUGUAAGAGGACUUACAGAUGGGAUUACCAGAGUGGAUCAGAAAGCCUCUUAGCUCCAGCUCCUGCGGCAAUACUAGUGCUUUAAAACAUUCUGUUAAAAUAAAAUUUAUCUGUUAACAUGUUGAUUCUACUAUUGGGAUUUUAAUGCACAAACACCACACGAGACCAGGGUGUUGUUUUAUUCUGACUUAAACACAUUCCACUGAUGGAUUUUCAACCUCUUACGUCUUAACACAGAGCAAAGCAUCAAGCAUUUAACCCAUGAGUUACAGUAUUAUGUGGUAAGGUGAAAAGGUCUCAUUACCUGGAGUUUGCAAAAGAUUUUCCCUGUCCAAGUCAUCCUGAUGGCAACAUUAAUUUUAUCCUGUUAUCCUCC
Long non-coding RNA from Esox lucius (northern pike), 1039 nucleotides. Lineage: Eukaryota; Metazoa; Chordata; Actinopteri; Esociformes; Esocidae. The record is from Ensembl.